RNAcentral lists this unclassified non-coding RNA (337 nucleotides) under soil metagenome. RNAcentral describes it as "partial contains 5.8S ribosomal RNA, internal transcribed spacer 2, and large subunit ribosomal RNA". The stretch from base 1 to 120 matches the Rfam family "5.8S ribosomal RNA", at positions 35 to 154 of the family's 154-position model. The record is from RNAcentral.
GAUGAAGAACGAAGCGAAAUGCGAUAAGUAGUGUGAAUUGCAGAAUUCAGUGAAUCAUCGAAUCUUUGAACGCACAUUGCGCCCCUUGGUAUUCCAUGGGGCAUGCCUGUUCGAGCGUCAUUUGUACCUUCAAGCUCUGCUUGGUGUUGGGUGUUUGUCUCGCCUCUGCGUGUAGACUCGCCUUAAAACAAUUGGCAGCCGGCGUAUUGAUUUCGGAGCGCAGUACAUCUCGCGCUUUGCACUCAUAACGACGACGUCCAAAAGUACAUUUUUACACUCUUGACCUCGGAUCAGGUAGGGAUACCCGCUGAACUUAAGCAUAUCAAUAAGCGGAGGA